Molecule: long non-coding RNA, 240 nt
Filed under: Elaeis guineensis (African oil palm)
Lineage: Eukaryota; Viridiplantae; Streptophyta; Magnoliopsida; Arecales; Arecaceae
Description: long non-coding RNA (EGUI_LNC017640)
Source: RNAcentral
CUAUCUAAUGUGGUUGGCAAACCUUCAAAUCAAGAUGGACUAGUGAAAGAAUCUGGUAUUUCUAUCACCCUUUCUGAUCUACUGCAUCCCAGACUUUUACCUCCACAAAAUCUCCUACUGUCUCAGUGAAGAAUAGUGCUCUAAGAGAUUAUGAAGAAGCUCCCUCAAGUCAGGAUCCUGAAGACACUCCUCCUGAUCCUCUCUCCUUUGUAACUCUGUAAUAUUCACCUCCACCCCCUC